This 485-nucleotide ribosomal RNA is filed under the name uncultured Pseudomonas sp. RNAcentral's name for it is "bacterial SSU rRNA". It matches the Rfam family "Bacterial small subunit ribosomal RNA", at positions 898 to 1382 of the family's 1533-position model. Lineage: Bacteria; Pseudomonadati; Pseudomonadota; Gammaproteobacteria; Pseudomonadales; Pseudomonadaceae. The record is from RNAcentral.
AACUCAAAGGAAUUGACGGGGGCCCGCACAAGCGGAGGAGCAUGUGGUUUUAAUUCGAUGAUACGCGAGGAACCUUACCUGGGCUCGAACGUAAGAUGACUGUAGGUGAAAGCUUACAUCUCUUCGGAGCAUUUUACGAGGUGCUGCAUGGUUGUCGUCAGCUCGUGCCGUGAGGUGUCGGGUUAAGUCCCGUAACGAGCGCAACCCUUGUCCUUAGUUACCAGCACGUUAUGGUGGGCACUCUAAGGAGACUGCCGGUGACAAACCGGAGGAAGGUGGGGAUGACGUCAAGUCAUCAUGGCCCUUACGGCCUGGGCUACACACGUGCUACAAUGGUCGGUACAAAGGGUUGCCAAGCCGCGAGGUGGAGCUAAUCCCAUAAAACCGAUCGUAGUCCGGAUCGCAGUCUGCAACUCGACUGCGUGAAGUCGGAAUCGCUAGUAAUCGUGAAUCAGAAUGUCACGGUGAAUACGUUCCCGGGCCUU